This 528-nucleotide unclassified non-coding RNA is filed under the name Hevea brasiliensis (rubber tree). Lineage: Eukaryota; Viridiplantae; Streptophyta; Magnoliopsida; Malpighiales; Euphorbiaceae. The record is from RNAcentral.
AAAGAUUUCCUCCAAGGUCUAGAACUUGCAAAAACCCUAGCUCAUGCAUCUUAUAACAUAAGAACUUAGAUAUGGGUCCGCGAAACGAAUUAGUAGAAAGAUAUAAAGCUCUCACGUUAGAGAACAUAUAUGGCAAUGGACCCUGGAAACUAUUGGAGCUCAAGUCAACCAAUGAACCAGAGAAUCCAUCGACUUGGUUUGAUAUAUUUGGAAUAACUCCACGGAUUUGGUUGUGGGAGAUAUUUAAGUAAUAAAAAUUGGAAGACAAGUUACAGAACCAAAGAGGAAUGGUGCUAGCAAUCCCUGAAUUUGACAGAUUGAGAGAAGAUAAAAACUUUAAUGAACGAAUCCAGUGAGGAAAAUGAGGCCCAAUUUUCCAAGACCCCAAAUUUAUUUCAUUAAUAUGAGGUGGGGGAUUCCAAUUAGGGUCAACUCUCAACCUCAAUUGGUUCCCAGAAGGACGAAAAUUGUACAAUUUGUGAGAUUUGCAAAGUGAACUGCAGAGACAUCACCCUCCAAUAAAUUAUA